Molecule: ribosomal RNA, 443 nt
Filed under: uncultured bacterium
Lineage: Bacteria
Description: partial 16S ribosomal RNA
Rfam family: Bacterial small subunit ribosomal RNA
Source: RNAcentral
CCUACGGGUGGCUGCAGUGGGGGAUAUUGCACAAUGGGGGGAACCCUGAUGCAGCGACGCCGCGUGGGUGAAGAAGCGCCUCGGCGCGUAAAGCUCUAUCAGCAGGGAAGAAAGAAAUGACGGUACCUGACUAAGAAGCCCCGGCUAACUACGUGCCAGCAGCCGCGGUAAUACGUAGGGGGCAAGCGUUAUCCGGAUUUACUGGGUGUAAAGGGAGCGUAGACGGCGAGGCAAGUCUGAAGUGAAAGGCGGGGGCCCAACCCCCGGACUGCUUUGGAAACGGGAUGGCGGGAGUGCAGGAGAGGUAAGUAGAAUUCCUAGUGUAGCGGUGAAAUGCGUAGAUAUUAGGAGGAACACCGGUGGCGAAGGCGGCUUACUGGACUGUAACUGACGUUGAGGCUCGAAAGCGUGGGGAGCAAACAGGAUUAGAUACCCUAGUAGUC